UGGGGAAUAAUUCACAAUGGGGGCAACCCUGAUGGUGCAACGCCGCGUGGAGGAUGACGGUCUUCGGAUUGUAAACUCCUGUCAUCCGGGAGUAAGACCUGGCCGUGAAGAGCGGACAGGGUUGAUAGUACCGGAAGAGGAAGGGACGGCUAACUUCGUGCCAGCAGCCGCGGUAAUACGAAGGUCCCGAGCGUUGUUCGGAAUCACUGGGCGUAAAGGGAGCGUAGGCGGCGUGGUAAGUCAGACGUGAAAUCCCGGGGCUCAACCCCGGAACCGCGUCCGAAACUGCCGCGAUCAGAGGAUUGGAGAGGUAGCUGGAAUUCUUGGUGUAGCAGUGAAAUGCGUGGAUAUCAAGAGGAACACUCGUGGCGAAAGCGAGCUACUGGACAACUCCUGACGCUGAGGCUCGAAGGCCGGGGUAGCGAAAG
This 428-nucleotide ribosomal RNA is filed under the name uncultured prokaryote. RNAcentral describes it as "bacterial SSU rRNA". It matches the Rfam family "Bacterial small subunit ribosomal RNA", at positions 355 to 774 of the family's 1533-position model. The record is from RNAcentral.